Long non-coding RNA from Xenopus laevis (African clawed frog), 1110 nucleotides. RefSeq lists it as uncharacterized. The record is from RefSeq and is a predicted model, not a curated record. Lineage: Eukaryota; Metazoa; Chordata; Amphibia; Anura; Pipidae. The transcript has 2 exons.
UCUGUUUUGGGCGUUCUGGCCAUCAGAUAUACGACAUGGAAUUGGAUGUUGAGAGGCAGCUUGUGAAAAAAAGGCAUGGAGGCUUAUCAUCCAUGUCAGAAAUUUAUUAGUGGUGUUUAUGUGGGAAGUACCUCUGGGAGCUGGAAAAAAUAGAAGUUGAGAAGGCCUUCUACUGGAUUGAUAAUGUGACAGAUACAUCUGAUUUUUCAAUGAAAAGCCAACUCUACAAAGAUGCAGAUAAUUUUAUUUAAGGUAUUAUUACUUUCUACUAUUUAACAUCUAAGAGUUUCCUCUGGUUGCUAGUUUCUACCCUGGAUAUCACUAAUGUUAAUUAGGAAGUCUGUCCCUUGCCCCACCCAGACAGGUGACUGCAAAACAAUAGUGUCUUAAUUAUAUGCAUACCGCUUGGCAAUUGAUUGGCUAAUGGUCUUCUAGGAUCUACAGAUAUAAGUGCCAGAUCUAGGGUAGGCAAUCCACAGUCUCCAGCAGAAAGCACUGAAGCUCCUCAAGUGACCUCUGCAAGAUGUUUCUUGUACACUCCAAUAUUACUCCAAUGGGUUUGGAGUCAAAUCUUCAAGGGCCUUGCAAAAAAAAUCCUCUGCAGAGUAAAAGAACCAACAGUGGAAAGGGACUGAAGAUUCCUACAGGCUGAUUAUGCAUCACCCAGAACAAGGCUCUCUUCUUUUGACCUUCAUGGAUGAUAUACGACAUGGAAUUGGAUGUUGAGAGGCAGCUUGUGAAAAAAAGGCAUGGAGGCUUUUCAUCCGUGUCAGAAAUUUAUUAGUGGUGUUUAUUUGGGGAAUAACCUUGGGGAGCUGGAAAAAAAAAGAAGUUGAGAAGGCCUUCUACUGGAUUGAUAAUGUGACAGAUACAGCUGAUUUUUCAAUGCAAAGCCAACUCUACAAUCCUGCAGUAAAUUUUAUUUAAGCUAUUAUUACUUUCUACUAUUUAACGUUAAGAGUUUCCUCUGGUUGCUAGUUUCUACCCUGGAUAUCACUAAUGUUAAUUAGGAAGUCUGUAACUUGCCCCGCCCAGAUAGGUGACUGCAAAACAAUAGUGUCUUAAUUAUAUGCAUACCGCUUGGCAAUUGAUUGGCUAAUGGUCUUCUAG